UACGGAGGAUCCGAGCGUUGUUCGGAUUCAUUGGGCGUAAAGGGUGCGUAGACGGCGGGGCAAGUCUGAUGUGAAAUCCCGGGGCUCAACCCCGGAACUGCAUUGGAUACUGCCUUGCUUGAGUACUGGAGAGGAGACUGGAAUUUACGGUGUAGCAGUGAAAUGCGUAGAGAUCGUAAGGAAGGCCAGUGGCGAAGGCGAGUCUCUGGACAGUUACUGACGCUGAGGCACGAAGGCCAGGGGAGCAAACGGG
RNAcentral lists this ribosomal RNA (253 nucleotides) under uncultured bacterium. RNAcentral's name for it is "partial 16S ribosomal RNA". It matches the Rfam family "Bacterial small subunit ribosomal RNA", at positions 524 to 776 of the family's 1533-position model. The record is from RNAcentral.